AAGUCUAUUGCCCUUACAAUCAAUGCAACAAAGAUUUGCCAUCAAAAGUAAAGAUAAGCAAAGUGAGCAUAAAAAACAUAAGGGGAACAUCAAGAACACAAGAUGCAGUGCUUUUACUGUGCAGUAAAGGUGCACCAUGUGAUGGAGUGGAGGUUGGAGAUAUAGACAUUACCUAUAAUGGAAAAGAAGGACCAGCCAAAUCUAGUUGUGAAAAUGUGAAGCCAAAGUUAGUAGGGAAACAGAAUCCACCAAUUUGUGCUGGAGCUCAGUCUUCUUGAGCUUUUUUUAAUUAGUUCCCAAUUUUUGUGCAAUUUUUAGCAAAUUGUUUUUAUAUAGUUUUGAUUAAGAAUUAGAUAUUAAUCCACCAGUUUGCACUGGUGUUGCUCAGUCUAAUUAUUGAGCUUAAUAGCUUAUAAUAUUUAUUUAUUUUAAUUCUAGAGUUUUUAGUUGUUGGAUAUCCUAAUUGAAAUAGUAUGUGUGCACGUAUAUAAGAUGUGCAUUGUAUUCAAAGUGUAGAAAUUACACAUGAAUAAUGGAGUAAUAGGAAAUCCUCUUGGCGAGAGAUUUUUGAACGUGAGAACAUAUAUUAUAACGUAGCACAAUAUAUGUUUGUGCUGGA
This is a non-coding RNA of Nicotiana tabacum (common tobacco), 619 nucleotides long. The record is from RefSeq and is a predicted model, not a curated record. NCBI's taxonomy places the organism in Eukaryota, Viridiplantae, Streptophyta, Magnoliopsida, Solanales, Solanaceae.